This 468-nucleotide ribosomal RNA is filed under the name uncultured bacterium. Its description in RNAcentral is "partial 16S ribosomal RNA". It matches the Rfam family "Bacterial small subunit ribosomal RNA", at positions 28 to 507 of the family's 1533-position model. The record is from RNAcentral.
GACGAACGCUGGCGGCGUGCUUAACACAUGCAAGUCGAACGGCAAGGCCCUACUUUUGUGGGGUGCCCGAGUGGCGAUCGGGUGAGUAACACGUGUGUAUCCUGCCCUUGACUUUGGGAUAACUUCAGGAAACUGGGGCUAAUCCCGGAUAGCAUCUCCCGCUGCAUGGAGGGGGUUGGAAAGUUUCGGCUGUUGGGGUUGGACUCGCGGCUUAUCAGCUUGUUGGUGGGGUAGUGGCUUACCCAGGCUUUGACGGGUAGCCGGCCUGAGAGCGUGACCGGCCACAAUGGGACUGAGGUACGGCGCAGACUCGUACGUUAGGCAGCAGUGGGGAGUAUUGUACAGUGGGCGGGAGCCUGAGACGGCAGCGCUGCGGGCGGGAUGACGGUCUUCGGGUUGUAAACCGCUUUCGCCUGUGACGAAGCGUUAGUGACGGUAAUGGAUAAAGAAGCACCGGCUAACUACGUG